This is a long non-coding RNA of Brachypodium distachyon (stiff brome), 2623 nucleotides long. RefSeq lists it as uncharacterized. NCBI's taxonomy places the organism in Eukaryota, Viridiplantae, Streptophyta, Magnoliopsida, Poales, Poaceae. The record is from RefSeq and is a predicted model, not a curated record. The transcript is spliced from 3 exons.
UCCAGAAUCCAGAUGCCCCAUGCCUCAUGCGAUAUUUCAUUUAUUGUAAAGUUUAUGUGCUAUAUUAGCAGAUGGUUAGUUCAUAUAUGAGAAUUAGAUCCUUUUUGUUGAAACAACUUCUGGCCAUGUUACAUACAUUCACAUUGUUAUCUUGGACACUGAAUUUUCUAGAUUCCGGUCAAGAAAUCUAGAUGUGUACGUAAGUUGAAACUGAGGCCCUGUUUGGAGCCUGGGAAUUGUACCAUUUUCCUCGAAUCCUUGUGAAAUUCCUGUGCUCCAGACAGGGCCUAAAAGCACUCCCCAACUUUAGCAAGAUUCCUGGAAUUUCUAUCAUAACACGUAUAUCAUAUAUUUCAUAAGUGUUGAGUUUUCAGCACGACAGGCAACGCAUACGAACCAGAUCUUAUAUGUCUCCUGUUUCUGCAUAUAGCCAUCAUCAUGUCUUCCCCAGUAGAGUUCGUGUCCAUUACCGGUGUCACUACCUAUAUUCGAGCUCCCCUGUCUGGCACUCAACAACCUUGCAAAGGCUUAAUUUCUUUCUGAGUUGAGUUUUCUUUUCCUUCUGCUUUCUAUUUGUGAGUUCAUUCUAGACCGCCGCAAUCAAUGACUGUGAGCCCCAUAAGAGCUUAGAAGAAAAAGAAAAGUACUCCCAAGCUUGUAGCUUCACGGUUACCUGGACUUGUUAUUCUAGGUUGUCGGCAGACAAUAGCAUGCUGUAAACUAGUACUCCUCCGAUUCAUAAUAAGUGUCUCAAUGUUAGUACAACUUUGUACUAAGUUAGCACAAAAUCUGUGACACUUAUUAUGGAUCGGAGGGAGUAUAAACUACUACCAAUACUCUUCUAUUCCUUUUUCUUUGUUUCACAUAUAAGAUUAUAUAUAUAGUCUUCUCUUCCUGUUGAACUCGGUAUAUCAUAAGUAUACAGAAAACUGUUUAGAUUCUGCAGGUUUCUUAUCGAAAGCACUUGCAAUUUGUUUUGAGCAUAUAAUUAUAACAUUUAACGGUAUUACAGACUGUCCAAAAUGAAUAAAGGUACUCCUAUUUGUUAGCAAUAGUAAUCAACCUUAUAAUCAUCAUCAAACAGUAGUAAGAGUAUCACACCAGGAGUACUGAUAGAUAUACUCCGAAGUGGUUAAUUAGCUUACCUGUCACAGAGUCAUAGGUUUCUGGGCUCUGGCUCUUUAGGAGUUGGACCUACAGGUCAUUACACACAACACCCAACCAAGUAAAUCAGCCACUGGUCCACCGGUGGGCCAUGAGACAACUGCACUGCUAGGUCCCCUGCCUCCUGGUGCACCUCAAGGGCCAAAUGAAACCUGUUUGUGUGUGUUUAAUUAGCUACCCAGAACCCUGAAAGCGAUGCCAAAGUUUCCCUCCUCCUUUUCUUAACCUAUCAGAAGAAUAUAGUGGUGAUUAAGAUAACGAACUCAGAGGAGGAAAAAACGGGCGCCACAGAAGCCAUAUAUGCAGGCGACGACUACUGACCGAGCUCCUCCUAGGUUGUGUUGUCCAGAGCAUCCCAAGAAUAGCAACUUGCCCACUUCCCCCCUUUUGUAUUGCCCCUUUUCCUUUGUCUCAUGUUGCCAACCAUAUAAUUUUUAAGUAAUUUUUGUAUUGUGUAUAUAUUUAUAUUUAUCUUUCUGGAAAGAUUCUGAUAUCUCUUUGUUUCUGGGUAUUGUUUGAUUGGCGCGCAACUUGUAAUAUUUGAUUUGCAACAUACAUGGAGGGGGACUGGGAAAAAUAAAAAUAUUGUAUAUCCUCGUUCUCCUACAUGCAUGAUUGGUGGUGUGCGUUGCACAUAAUCCUUGUACCAAUCAGAGAUGUUGAUUAUAAACCCAGCAGUACCUCCAGUUUGUGCCAGGAAACAACCGACGGCCAACUUGGCGACGUAAAAGUGUUGUCAGCUGGAAGAGGAAGACGCUGAUUACGACGACGGGGAGAGCAAGUACAGCCCAGAGGCCGGCGAGCUAGGCCAAUGGUGCGGUGGUCCUGCAUGCCAGCUGGAGCUAAGGGAGAAGCAUGGCUAGCUGCUGUGAGUGCGACGCCUCUUGAAAGCUCAAGAAAACCUAGACACAUUUGGUUGGAUAUCAAUAUGGACCUCCUCAAGAGAUCUCUCUCUAUAUCUCUCCGGAAUUAAUAAUUUACCUGUUGGUCCGACAGAUUAGCUGAAGAACAAACAGGCCGGGCAUUAGAUGUGGGAAUUAUGGCGCUGCAGCAAUGCAGAUCGAAACAAACAGGACAUAACAAAAUUGAUCAAUGGGGGAUCGAUUUGUAGAUUCAGAUGUCUCAUCACCAGCUAUAGCUAUUCGAUCGAUCGAUCACACCAGCAAGUUCUAAGCAUCAUUACUGCUGUUCCCAGUGAAUUUAAACCCCUGCUGAUCCUCUGAUAAUGUACCUGUACAAUACUAGUGAUGCAGAUCACGUACACCAGUAUUAAUUGCUCAAGUGGAUCGAUCGAUCCUGCAUGUGUGUAACAGGAACCCAAGGCAAUUAAGGCAAUUAUUGUUUGUAAACUAAAAAUGGGAUCAGUUAUGUGAGUUGGCCUUUCAAAAUACUUAACUUGUUUAUUUGUCUAUGGGCAAUGUAAUUAUAUUUUCUCACAAAAAGUUGGAAGAUUUGAACA